UACGUAGGGUGCGAGCGUUAAUCGGAAUUACUGGGCGUAAAGCGUGCGUAGGCGGUUCGUUAAGUUCGUUGUGAAAGCCCCGGGCUCAACCUGGGAACUGCAAUGGAAACUGGCGGGCUUGAGUGUGGCAGAGGGGGGUGGAAUUCCGCGUGUAGCAGUGAAGUGCGUAGAGAUGCGGAGGAACACCGGUGGCGAAGGCGGCAUCCUGGACCAACACUGACACUGAGGAGCGAAAGCCAGGGGAGCAAACGGG
RNAcentral lists this ribosomal RNA (253 nucleotides) under uncultured bacterium. RNAcentral's name for it is "partial 16S ribosomal RNA". It matches the Rfam family "Bacterial small subunit ribosomal RNA", at positions 524 to 776 of the family's 1533-position model. The record is from RNAcentral.